This 164-nucleotide ribosomal RNA is filed under the name Ptilostemon gnaphaloides. Its description in RNAcentral is "5.8S ribosomal RNA". It matches the Rfam family "5.8S ribosomal RNA". Rfam says of the family: 5.8S ribosomal RNA (5.8S rRNA) is a component of the large subunit of the eukaryotic ribosome. It is transcribed by RNA polymerase I as part of the 45S precursor that also contains 18S and 28S rRNA. Lineage: Eukaryota; Viridiplantae; Streptophyta; Magnoliopsida; Asterales; Asteraceae. The record is from RNAcentral.
UAAACGACUCUCGGCAACGGAUAUCUCGGCUCACGCAUCGAUGAAGAACGUAGCAAAAUGCGAUACUUGGUGUGAAUUGCAGAAUCCCGUGAACCAUCGAGUUUUUGAACGCAAGUUGCGCCCAAAGCCAUUCGGCUGAGGGCACGUCUGCCUGGGCGUCACGC